GUAGCUCACCUGUUAAAAAAUUCAUUAAAAGGGAAACAAACGUUUUUAAGGGAUAUGACUACUAAAAGAUGUCAGCCAAUGGUACAUUUGAAUAUUUUAGAUCAUGAAUUGGUGAUCAUGUGUUGCUUUUUUUUAAUACUACUAGUAUAGUUUUCAAGAUAGUUGGCAACAAUAAGUAAACUAAAAGAAAAAUGCGUCUAAGUACACCAUUCAAUAGCCCAACCAAGCUUUUCAAUUUCCCAAGGUAAAACCUGUUUUUUUUUUAAUUUUCAAGGUACUUUUUGUUUAAUUUUCCAAAGUAAAAACUUUAAAGGGCAUAAUUCUAGAACGGUAAAUGACUUACUGCCCAUAUUCGAGCCCUGUCUGUGUGUUGUGGUUCUUGGAAUUGAAUUUUAUUAAAUUUACAUCAGGCAAACAUUAAGUUAGAGUGGCGAAACAAAAAUUGGACAGGAAGAUGGAAGGUCGGAAGGAGAGAAAUCUGGAAGAAAGGAAACACAGAAGGUAGACAGACAGAAGGACGGACGGUCGUGGCCUAGGCAUAACAACAUUAUUUAAUGCAAUGACUCUUAUACACGAAAGAGUCUUAUGAUAAUGUUGGUGCAUAGAAGAAGUACUGUAUGUAGAUAUUACCAUUUUGACCAUUUUUGCCUCCUCAAAUUUCUGUUUAUUGCAUUUUCGAGAUAUAUAAGAUAUUUAUUUAGAUGUGGAGCUAGGCCAUGUUUAUUGACUGACUGAAAAAAAGACCAGACUCAAGCUGGCAGCCACUUUCAUCGGCCAAUCAAGAUAGCAGCCACUUUUUUCCAGCAGCCAAUUUUGACGAUAUGUCUAAAAACCAAAAAACUAUGUGAGGCUCAAACGUUCCAAAAAUCGCUAAAUCUUAGUAAAAUGCAAUCUAACAGCGGAAAUCGACAAUUUCACGGUUUCUGCUAAUUUCUAAAGC
RNAcentral lists this long non-coding RNA (940 nucleotides) under Mytilus galloprovincialis (Mediterranean mussel). The record is from RNAcentral. Lineage: Eukaryota; Metazoa; Mollusca; Bivalvia; Mytilida; Mytilidae.